This is a non-coding RNA of Xiphophorus maculatus (southern platyfish), 216 nucleotides long. NCBI's taxonomy places the organism in Eukaryota, Metazoa, Chordata, Actinopteri, Cyprinodontiformes, Poeciliidae. The record is from Rfam.
AUCACUUCUCUGCCUUUUGGCUAAGAUCAAGUGUAAAUAUCUGUUCUUAUCAGUUUAAUAUCUGAUAGUUCCUUUCAAGGGAAUCAUGUAUUAAGUUGAUUUGAGCUUGCUCUGUCCACUCUGCACAUCAUCCUGGUAUUGACUGGACAGUAUCUCAAGAUGUUGCUGCAAUAUUUCUAUAACAUGCUCAUGAUCUUGAGCAUUUGUGAACUGUAA